Molecule: small nucleolar RNA, 138 nt
Organism: Ornithorhynchus anatinus (platypus)
Lineage: Eukaryota; Metazoa; Chordata; Mammalia; Monotremata; Ornithorhynchidae
Source: RefSeq, a predicted model, not a curated record
GUCCUCUCAGGAUCACACCUGGAGAGUUUCCAGUACUCUACCAGUUUCCUCUAUGAGAGGGAGAGUCAAGCAGAGGCCUACCCAUUCCAUUCCUAGCUUGGCCAGUGGCUAGCGAGUGGCAAGCCAUCUGCUACAAGU